CUGCUGCCUCCCGUAGGAGUUUGGGCCGUGUCUCAGUCCCAAUGUGGCCGGUCACCCUCUCAGGUCGGCUACUGAUCGUCGCCUUGGUGGGCCGUUACCCCGCCAACCAGCUAAUCAGACGCGGGUCCAUCUCAUACCACCGGAGUUUUUCACACCGGAACAUGUGUCCCUGUGCGCUUAUGCGGUAUUAGCAGUCAUUUCUAACUGUUAUCCCCCUGUAUGAGGCAGGUUACCCACGCGUUACUCACCCGUCCGCCACU
RNAcentral lists this ribosomal RNA (260 nucleotides) under uncultured bacterium. RNAcentral's name for it is "partial 16S ribosomal RNA". The record is from RNAcentral.